GCACGGAUUUGGAAACUACUGCAUGUGCACGAUUCUCAGCCUAGUUCCCUGCAGGUGAGGGAUUUUUUUUUUUUUCCAGAAAGAAAACUGUUAGCUCUGCCCUGAAGAUGAGUCCCACAGAGGUUUUGCAGGGUGGAGUUACCGAGAAAUUGACUUCGGGGAGACGAAGCUCCGACCUCCCAGGCACCAAGAUCUUUACCAACAACCCGGGAUGCUCACUGCAGGAGGGAGCGGCUCACGAGAGCCGCAGCGCUGCGCCGUUUGGAGAGGGGUCAUCCGCCCCGGAACCGACGUGAGCGCGGGGCCGGCCCGUGGAGGCGGCUGAGGGAUCCCCCACUUCCAGCCCGCCCGCUCGGAGCCGAACCCCGA
Homo sapiens (human) is the source of this 369-nucleotide long non-coding RNA. RefSeq lists it as uncharacterized. The record is from RefSeq and is a predicted model, not a curated record. Lineage: Eukaryota; Metazoa; Chordata; Mammalia; Primates; Hominidae. The transcript has 3 exons.